This 253-nucleotide ribosomal RNA is filed under the name uncultured Clostridium sp. RNAcentral describes it as "partial 16S ribosomal RNA". It matches the Rfam family "Bacterial small subunit ribosomal RNA", at positions 524 to 776 of the family's 1533-position model. Lineage: Bacteria; Bacillati; Bacillota; Clostridia; Eubacteriales; Clostridiaceae. The record is from RNAcentral.
UACGUAGGUGGCAAGCGUUGUCCGGAUUUACUGGGCGUAAAGGGAGCGUAGGUGGAUAUUUAAGUGGGAUGUGAAAUACCCGGGCUUAACCUGGGUGCUGCAUUCCAAACUGGAUAUCUAGAGUGCAGGAGAGGAAAGGAGAAUUCCUAGUGUAGCGGUGAAAUGCGUAGAGAUUAGGAAGAAUACCAGUGGCGAAGGCGCCUUUCUGGACUGUAACUGACGCUGAGGCUAGAAAGCGUGGGGAGCAAACAGG